RNAcentral lists this ribosomal RNA (253 nucleotides) under uncultured bacterium. RNAcentral's name for it is "partial 16S ribosomal RNA". It matches the Rfam family "Bacterial small subunit ribosomal RNA", at positions 524 to 776 of the family's 1533-position model. The record is from RNAcentral.
UACGUAGGGUGCAAGCGUUGUCCGGAAUUAUUGGGCGUAAAGGGCUCGUAGGCGGUCCAUCACGUCGGGAGUGAAAAGCUGGGGCUUAACCCCAGUCCUGCUUCCGAUACGGGUGGACUAGAGGUAGGCAGGGGAGAACGGAAUUCCUGGUGUAGCGGUGAAAUGCGCAGAUAUCAGGAGGAACACCAAUAGCGAAGGCAGCUCGCUGGGACGGUACUGACGCUAAGGCGCGAAAGCGUGGGGAGCGAACAGG